AUGGCUCGCAACCGCAUGUACCCAUGGAGCCUCGCACUGGUGGCGCUCGUUCUGGCCACGUCGUGGAUGUGCUCACUUCAACCAUGCUCCGCUGACACGAUGGUGCCUCAGCCGACCACGACAGCGGCAAGCGCAGACAACGUACCCGUCCGAGCUGCCGCAAGUGUGCCGCUUGGUUCACCGGCUCCCACACCCGCAGCCACACCGGCGACGCCACCGAUGGCCACGGCGUCGAAGAAAAUCCCGCUGCCCGUGCCGGUACCCGAGACACUUCCCGGCGCGGAAGGCCUCGGCUUCGGCGGUGGAUACGGCGGGCAGACGGUGCCCGGCGGCGGCCUCGGUGGGUUCAACGGAGACCAGGGCUUCUUCGGCGGAUGCUGCGGAGGCUUCGGGUACAACGGCGGUCCUGGGUAUAAUAACGGGCCGUUGUUCUUCAACUCGGUGCCCGCAACAAGAUUGAGGCUGAGGAUGGUGGCAACGGGAAACGGCUUCGCGCCUCUGCUGGUGGCUGGUGCUGCAGCCAUGUUUUACGCGUGA
RNAcentral lists this ribosomal RNA (537 nucleotides) under Triticum aestivum (bread wheat). RNAcentral describes it as "partial small subunit ribosomal RNA". The record is from RNAcentral. Lineage: Eukaryota; Viridiplantae; Streptophyta; Magnoliopsida; Poales; Poaceae.